RNAcentral lists this ribosomal RNA (253 nucleotides) under uncultured bacterium. RNAcentral describes it as "partial 16S ribosomal RNA". It matches the Rfam family "Bacterial small subunit ribosomal RNA", at positions 524 to 776 of the family's 1533-position model. The record is from RNAcentral.
UACAGAGGUCUCAAGCGUUGUUCGGAAUCACUGGGCGUAAAGGGUGCGUAGGCGGCGUGGUAAGUCAGAGGUGAAAUCCCGGAGCUCAACUUCGGAAUUGCCUCCGAUACUGCCGUGCUUGAGGACUGGAGAGGAGAUUGGAAUUCACAGUGGAGCAGUGAAAUGCGUAGAUAUUGUGAGGAACACUAGUGGCGAAGGCGAAUCUCUGGACAGUUCCUGACGCUGAGGCACGAAGGCCAGGGGAGCAAACGGG